UUCAACAAAAUAUGAGAAUAAAUUCAAUGAAUUAUAGCACCAUAAUGUAACUAAAUAUAUAAACAUGUUAAACAACAAUUUUUAUCAAUAAUUCAUAUUAACCAAUAGUAAUUAAAUGUUAAUUUUACAACAGUCCAUUUUAAAGGGACAUAAUACUGUUCUAAAACAUAGGGUCGCCGUUACAUUCCUCCCUCCUUAAAAAAAACUGAAGCCAUGAAGUUUAAAAACAAGGCUGGUAUGAAUCUCCAUUAUAUACAAACAGUAUAUUCAUCCAUAUAUAUUGCACACGGAACACAUUCCAAUUCCUUUAUCAAUUGAACACUAGAAAUGCUGGCCAUAUCAUCUCCAAUAUCAGUUAUAAACACUCGUAUAUAUUAUCUCAUAUCAUCACCAUCACUGAAAACAAGUGCUGAAAAAUUUAAUAACAAAAUUAAACAAAUAGUUAAACUGAA
Molecule: long non-coding RNA, 452 nt
Filed under: Mytilus galloprovincialis (Mediterranean mussel)
Lineage: Eukaryota; Metazoa; Mollusca; Bivalvia; Mytilida; Mytilidae
Source: RNAcentral